This 198-nucleotide microRNA precursor is filed under the name Gossypium raimondii (Peruvian cotton). RNAcentral describes it as "miR8783 stem-loop (gra-MIR8783)". Lineage: Eukaryota; Viridiplantae; Streptophyta; Magnoliopsida; Malvales; Malvaceae. The record is from miRBase by way of RNAcentral.
AUUUGCUCCUUUUGUACGUGGCGGGAGAUAUUGGAGGGAAAACCAUUUUCUUACAAACGUAUCUCUUAGAUAUUAGAAAAAUAAAAGACCGAAUUUAAAGAUAAGAUUAUUAGAAACUGGUGGAUUUGGGCCGAAGUAAAAAAUGCUAAUAUUUUUUUUCCCUCCAAUAUCUCCCGCCAUAUACAUAAGGAGCAAAUA